This 67-nucleotide transfer RNA is filed under the name Eysarcoris gibbosus. Its description in RNAcentral is "tRNA-Arg". Lineage: Eukaryota; Metazoa; Arthropoda; Insecta; Hemiptera; Pentatomidae. The record is from RNAcentral.
AGAUUAUGAAGUAAAAUAAUUUACAAUUAGUUUCGACCUAAUUUUAGGAUUAAUAAUCCCUUAUCUG